Molecule: long non-coding RNA, 6389 nt
Filed under: Homo sapiens (human)
Lineage: Eukaryota; Metazoa; Chordata; Mammalia; Primates; Hominidae
Description: non-protein coding LINC00894:43
Source: RNAcentral
GCUUUGCCAUCAGUGGUGUGAGGAGCAGGCCGGGGCAGUGGGCAAUUGAGCGAGGAACAGCUGCGGGAGGACUCCGCGGACUCCUGAGAACCAGCUUAGGGGAGCGGCGGCUUGGGGAGGUGUAGGGUGGAAUCACGAGAAAGCUCUGUGGGAGGGCCUGGUGCACAGCUCAGCUGCAGGGUGGAGCUGAGGGAAAGCCGGGCGUUCCUGGAGGAGGAGCAGGGCGAGGCUGUGGCAAAGCGCUGUGGGAGCAGAUGGGGCGGGGCUGCGGGAAAGAGCUGGAGAAGGAGGAGCCAAGCUGCACCAAGGCUGGCGGGUGAGAAUUGCGGGGGAGGAGCUAGUGCAGAGCUGGAGGAAAGAGCUGAAAGGCAAGAGUCCAAACUUUCCCGCGGCGACCUAACUGCACCUCCAGUGUCUUCCCCCAGAGGGCACAGAAGCAGCAAGAAGGGCGGGAACACUUGACUGGGGUCCAUGCAGCUCUAGGCUGAGUCUUGCAGGGCUGAGCCCCCCAGGCCUGCUCUCCUGUGUCCUGGCCGCUCCGUCAGUGCCUGCCAGUGGGGUCCAGAGGGACCGUUUUUUUAACGCCUCUUUUGCAGUCUCCCGCAUUGACUUCAUAACCAAGUUCUGGGUCCCUGCCUCUGGAGUGCCUGAUGAGACAAAACGGCUCCUCGUCCUGCAUCCCCGCUGCUACUUCCAGAAUUCAGGCCUCGUGGUCUGGAGCCUGCACUGUUCCAUGAGCCUCCUGAGCAACCUGGAGUCCUCUGUCUUUCUUCCCUCAGUGAGAUGCGCCUACUUCUCCCUGGAGAAGCUUGAGGAAGCAGAAAUGCUGGAGAUGAGCUGCUCCUCACUCUCACUCCUGGGUGUGCUGGGCAGUGGGGUGCAAUGUGCACGUAGGUGCACACUCUCCCUGGGCGGCAGCGAGCAGCAGAGGUCUGAUCUGUGGUCGGAUGACGAGAGGAAGUGCAAGUAAAGCAGCUGCAGCGACGGAGUUUUGCUCUUGUUGCCCAGGCUGGUGCAAUCUCGGCUCACCACUACCUCUGCCUUCUGGGCUCAAGCGAUUCUCCUUCCUCAGCCUCCUGAGUGCUGGGAUUACAGAGACCUCGUCCGCACAGGGGCUUGUUCUUCUGUGUCUUUGCAGGGCUGUUUUGGACUCAGUAUUCACCUAAGCACUCCAAAUUGUAAGUAACCCCAGAGAUCAUGGAGUGUCCCACUGCCCCUCCAUCUGAAGGCUGUGACCUCUCCCCCAAGGAGGAGGUGCUCGCAUGCGUCCAGUGCCCUGCCCAUUAGAUUAGGGAGGGUUCCCUUUUUUGCUCUCUUGCACUCAUUUGUCCGCCUUUUAGCUUUCCUUUUCUGCCCUGACUCUCACAGGGUCGUGCGGAUGUGCGAUGUAGGAGGAGGAGAGAGGUAAAGUGGAGGAAUAGGAGCUGGAGGGGAGGAGGAGAGAAGAAAAGAGGAGAAGGAGGGGGAAGAGAGGGAGCGGGUUCAAGGAGGGAAGGAGGAGGAGAAGGAGAGGAGGAGGAGAUGAGACCAAGGAGAAGAGGUGAAGGAGGAGAGGAGGACACAGAAAAGAGAAGAAAGAGGAGAGGAGACGGAGAAGAGGAGGAGGAGUAACAAAGGAGGAAGAAGAGGAAGAGGACUAGAAGAGCAAGUAAGGAGGAGGAGGGGGGAGUAGGAGGAGAGGAGAAGGACAGAAGGGGAAGGAGAGGCAGAUGUGGAGGAGAGGAGGUGGAGGACAGGAGGGGAUGAGAAAGAGGAGGAGAAAAGGAGAGGAGAGGGAUGAGGGGGGAGGAGGAAGAGAAAAGAACAGGAGGAGAAGAGGAGGAGAAAAGGAGGAGGAGUGAAAGAAAAGAGGAGAAGGAGAGGAGGGGGGGAGGACGGGGAGGAAGGGAGAAGGAGAGAAAUAGGAGGAGGGAGGAAAGGAGGAGAGGACGAGAGGAGGAGCAGAGGAGGAGGAGGAGAGGAAGGGGAGGAGAUUUGGAGGAAGAGGGGAGGUGGAAGAAGAAAGGAGAAGGCGGAGAAGAGGAGAAAGCAGAGAGGAGGAGGCUGAAGAAAGGAGGACCAGGAGGAGAGGACGAGGAGGAAAGGAGGAAGAGGAAGAGUGGAAUAAGAGGAGCAGAGGAAAAGGAGGAGGGGGUUGGGGAGGAGUGGAGAGGAGAGGAGGAGGAACAGAGUUGGAGGAGGUGAAAGAGAAAAGAGGAGAAGGAGGAGAGGAAGAGAGAAGGAAAUGAGAAGGAGAAAAGUAGGAAGAAGAAGAGAGAAGAGGAGAGGAUGAGGAGGAGGAGAGGAGAAGGAGAGCAGGAGGUGGGAGGAGGAGGAGAGUAAGAGGAGGAAAUGAGGAGGAAGAAAGGAGGACAGAAGGUGGAGAGGAGGAGGAGAGGAGGAGAAGGAAACGAGGAGGAGGACGAGGCUGCACCACCCUUAUCAGGUUCCAGUUCUCGGUGCGCCCCGUUCUGCAAGACACUCUCCUGUGGUCAGCCCUGGUCUGCAGAGGAUUCCCGCGCUGGAUCUCUGAAGGAUGCUGGCGCCCUCUCUGCAGCACAUUCCUGAUGCCCUUGCUGACACGUGUCCUCUGGGCCCUCUCCUGAAACCUGAUUCUCCGGGGUGUCUUCUGGCCUCACCUCUUCUGUCCAGUUCCAGCAAGCUCACUUUGCUUAGCCUUUGAAUCCCUUCCUUCACUGUCUGCCAUGACAGUUCAGGCCUUUCACCGUCACUCAGGCCUGGACCAUCACUGUUGCCCAUCCCAUGCCAUCAACAGGUUUGCCCCAUCCCUUCGGCUCCCUACCAGGGCAUUCAGUUGUGUUGAGCAGCAGAGUGUCUCCAAGUCCCCACUGGUUGAGCUGCAUCCGGGUCCCAUCCCACAGGGACCCCCUGGCCGCUGCAGAUGCAUGCUGAUCCUGCAGCUCCUCGAGGGUGUCAUCGCUUUCCCCCUUCCCAGACCCAGCACACCCUGCCUGCAUGGCGCUGCGCUGCACCUUCACUCUGGUCACGGGUCUGGCAGUCAGCUCACCAAUUCCUCCUGCUUCCCUGGGACUUGCCGGCUUUUAGCACUGCAAUUCACUCAGCAAACUGGGACUGUUGGUCACCCUACCUGGCAGCCAGUGAUAAGGUGAGGGCCACUCCUGGGAGGGAGGACACCUGUGGGGAAAAUUCUUGUGUUAUUUAUUUCUCCUUCGGGAUAGGGUGCCUGCAGCGCUUCAUGGGAGGGGGUGGGCUGAUGCUGCGGGCUCAGAAGUUUCAAGGGCAUCUGGGGAGACCAGAUAUUCAGAGACCUUCUAGAUGUGCCUGUUCCAUGUAUCAGGGACGCAGGUUUUCCCAACAGGGCUGGUGUCAUUGGCAUGACAGACCUGCCUUGGCUGAGCGUUCACCUGUCUUUGGAGUUCAGCCACCUUAGCAAGUCCUGGGUUUGUUCUUCAGACUUUGCUGCUCGCCCAUUGCCUGGAUCGGGGGCUACUUUGUAAACCACCAGGAAGACUCCAGUGUUUCUGGUUAAUUUUUAGAUGUUUGUUAAUUGCUCUUGGUCUCUCAUUAAUCCCCUGUGGGUCAUCCAGGAAACAUACUCACCACUGUCUGUUCUCUGAGUUUUCAUUUCCAGGCAUCCGCCCUGCCUGGAUCUCCUCACCUGCCAGGAACUUCCUCUCCACAAGCCGGCCAUCCCAGCAAAAGUUCUAACACCAAAGGUCUGGCAACUAGCCUGCCAUCUUGUGCCUGGAGCCGCCUGCGUGCCACCUACUCCCGAAGAUGGGAACCUUGUUGCCAGUUGGGCAGAUGCGGGGCAAUCCUGUACCAAGACCCCAUUUUACCACCUGCUUUCUCAGACCACUCUGGAACCCACUGUCUCAGAUUGUGUCCUCCAGGAAGCAGACCAUGAGAGGGAGUUGGCAGGGCCAAAGAUUUACUGGGGCUAACUAACACUCAGGAAAGGGAUAGGAAGGAAACAGGGCUGGAGAGCAGGUUGAGCCCGACCUGACAGUCUCGAGCAGCCCAACAGGGAGGUGUGGAGCAAGGGUUGCCCACUAGAGGGGCCUGCAUUGGGUACGGGUGAUGGGGUCCACAUGGUACCUGGCAUAUAGCAGGCUGUGCAAUCCAUAUUAACUGACUGGAUAAAUUAAUGCCCAGAAAAGGUGCCCUGGAGAAUGGGUGUGUGCUGAACACAAUAGGGAAGGGCCCAGCAUCUGCCUUGGCAUAGGCAGAACUGUGCUGUGCCCUGCAACAGGCCACCUGAGAGCUGCUUUGAUCUUGUGUGUACAUUAGAUGACUGCCAGGGGCAUGAAGGGGAUGUGCUUCCAGGGCAUUUGCUGGCAGGGCGUCUCGUGAUCUCUUGGUAUUGGUGUGAGCACAGCCUGGCAGGAGAGGGCAGAUCUCCAUGCAAAGUAUGUCAGAAAGCAGAUGGAAGCCAGGCCCCCUCCUGAAAGAGGCUCCUUGAAGGUAGGUGCACACUCAUGUCUUUGUUACUUGUAAGGGGGCAUCUUACAGGCAAGAGGAGUUAGGUGAAUGUGAAGAGGAAGGAACUACUCUGGGCAGGGGGCUGGGGGACGCUUCGUAGAGGAGGGGGUGUUUGAGCUGGGCCUUGAAGGUCAAAAGGGUUUUGUUAGGUGGGAAAUGGGGGAAGGACAGUCUGAAAGGGUUAGGUACAUUCAAGGAGCCCAGAGAAGGUUCGUGGCUGGAGCAGACGCAUUCGUAGAGUGAAGUCAUGGGAGAGAAGAGGCUGGGAAACUAGAUUGGUUCCAACUCCUAAAGGACCACUGAAGGAGUGUGGGCUGCACGCUGGGUGCAGCAGGUGAGUUUCCUCACUUGGGUUUCACUGUCAGCAUUUUAAAAAGGCAAACUGGUUUUCUUCCUGAGAAGAAUUCAUUGAUUCACUUGUGGCCAGUAAGUCAUCUGGGCCAGAGGUUGGUGGGGAGAUGAUAGGGGUGCAAGUGUCAUCUUCAAUCACAGCAUAACUGCCCUUGCUUUCUUACCUCUCGUUUAGAUAUUUCAAUGCUUGCUCAGGUCCCCUGCGCCCUCCUUCCUUCUCCCUUCCCAGCCAUACUACUUAUGGGAUGACUUUCUCUUUGUAAAAUGACCGUUAGUCUUAUCAAAUUAAUCCCAAAGUAAUACCAUCAAUUUCCCCCUAAAAUACCAACAAGACCCCUGCUUGAAACUGCUUGUACAUUAGAGACAGAGAAGAGUCCAUGAGAAUCAACAUUUUCUGAGGACUCCAACUGUGUGCCAAGAGAGUUCCCCUGCUGGUGCCUCCUCUGUAGUAAAGGAAAGGUAACAUUCCUGCAAGGCUUUGAAGCUUACAGCGUGCUUGCCCUUAGAUUCUUGUGUUGUGUUCUGGGUCAGCAGGAAUGCCUCGCCAGGUCCUUUUUCUCAUCCUAAUGUGACACUGAAUUCUUCACAGGCUCCUGGGACCACAUUAUCAUUCUCUUCACUCGAGAGAUGAGGACACUGAAAUUCAGAGAGGGGAAGUGAUUUGCCUCAGCUUGUACUGGUUUCACUUUGUCACUCAGGCUGGAGUGCAGUGAUGUGAUCAUAGCUUUCUGCAGCCUUGACUUCCGGGCUCAAGUGAUCCUCCCACCUCCGCCUCCUUAGUAGCUAGGACCACAGGCAUGCACCAGCACACCCAGCAAAUUAAAAAAAAAUUUUUUUUAAAGAUGAGAUCUCACUAUGUUGCCCAGGCUGGUCUGAAAUUCCUGUCCUCAAGCAAUCCUCCUGCCUUAGCCUCCCAAAGUGCUGAGAUUACAGGCAUGAGCUACCAUGCCUGGCCUAAAACAUUUUUAAUGGAAGUAUAAUUUGCAAACAGAAAACAUGCCCAAAUAUUAAGUGAAUGCACUGAUGAACAUUCACAACUUAACAAGAUAGCCAGCACUUAAAUCACAAAAUAGAACACCGCUAGGACCUCUUUGUAAUACCCUCCAAGUCACUACUUCUGCCCAAAGGUAAUCGCUAUUUUGCAACAUUUUUUAUUACUUUAUAUAAAUGAGAUCGUACACUGCGUAAUCUUAUUACUGUCUGGAUUUUUAUAUUAAAUAUUGCUUGUGAGAUUCAUCCAUGUUGUCAUGUCAGCAAUACUUUAUUCUCAUUGCCAUAUACUAUUCCAUUUUUAUCAGUAUACCAUGAUAUAUUUACCCAUUCUGCUAUUUGUACAUACUGGAAUUGUUCCCAGGUUUUUGUAAUACAAGCAAAGCUGCUAUGAACAUGCUUGGAUUUACUUUCUUUGGUGAAUAUGUAUUACUGUUAUGUACAUGUCUAGAGGUAAAAUUGAUGAUUUAUGGGAUAUGCAUAUGUUUAAUUUUAGCAGAUAUUGAAAAACAGAUUUUUAAAGCGGCUGUAGCAAUUUACAUUACCACCAGCAAUGUGUGAGUUCCAUUUGCUCUCCGUCCUUGACAGCACAUGUUGUCACUUAG